This 492-nucleotide ribosomal RNA is filed under the name uncultured bacterium. RNAcentral's name for it is "partial 16S ribosomal RNA". It matches the Rfam family "Bacterial small subunit ribosomal RNA", at positions 29 to 507 of the family's 1533-position model. The record is from RNAcentral.
AGUGAACGCUGGCGGUAGGCCUAACACUUGCAAGUCGAACGGCAGCACAGUAAGAGCUUGCUCUUACGGGUGGCGAGUGGCGGACGGGUGAGGAAUACAUCGGAAUCUACUCUUUCGUGGGGGAUAACGUAGGGAAACUUACGCUAAUACCGCAUACGACCUACGGGUGAAAGCAGGGGAUCUUCGGACCUUGCGCGAUUGAAUGAGCCGAUGUCGGAUUAGCUAGUUGGCGGGGUAAAGGCCCACCAAGGCGACGAUCCGUAGCUGGUCUGAGAGGAUGAUCAGCCACACUGGAACUGAGACACGGUCCAGACUCCUACGGGAGGCAGCAGUGGGGAAUAUUGGACAAUGGGCGCAAGCCUGAUCCAGCCAUACCGCGUGGGUGAAGAAGGCCUUCGGGUUGUAAAGCCCUUUUGUUGGGAAAGAAAAGCAGCAGGUUAAUACCCCGCUGUUCUGACGGUACCCAAAGAAUAAGCACCGGCUAACUUCGUG